Molecule: ribosomal RNA, 753 nt
Filed under: marine metagenome
Description: bacterial SSU rRNA
Rfam family: Bacterial small subunit ribosomal RNA
Source: RNAcentral
AAAGCAUGGGUAGCGAAGAGGAUUAGAUACCCUCGUAGUCCAUGCCGUAAACGAUGUGUGUUAGACGUUGGAAAUUUAUUUUCAGUGUCGCAGCGAAAGCGAUAAACACACCGCCUGGGGAGUACGACCGCAAGGUUAAAACUCAAAUGAAUUGACGGGGACCCGCACAAGUAGUGGAGCAUGUGGUUUAAUUCGAAGAUACGCGCAGAACCUUACCAACACUUGACAUGUUCGUCGCGACUCUAAGAGAUUAGAGUUUUCGGUUCGGCCGGACGAAACACAGGUGCUGCAUGGCUGUCGUCAGCUCGUGUCGUGAGAUGUUGGGUUAAGUCCCGCAACGAGCGCAACCCUCACUUUUAGUUGCCAUCAUUUAGUUGGGCACUCUGAAAGAACUGCCAGUGAUAAGCUGGAGGAAGGUGGGGAUGACGUCAAGUCCUCAUGGCCCUUACGUGUUGGGCUACACACGUGCUACAAUGGUAUCUACAACAGGAAGCAAGACUGCGAGGUCAAGCAAAUCCUUAAAAGAUACCUCAGUUCGGAUUGCACUCUGCAACUCGAGUGCAUGAAGCUGGAAUUACUAGUAAUCGUGGAUCAGCGUGCCACGGUGAAUGCGUUCCCGGGUCUUGUACACACCGCCCGUCACACCAUGGGAGUUGGUUCUACCUUAAGGCAAGGUUUAAUACCCUUGACCACGGUAUAGUCAGCGACUGGGGUGAAGUCGUAACAAGGUAGCCGUAGGGGAACCUGCGGCUG